UACCAGCACCCCGAGUGGUCGGGACGAUUAUUGGGCCUAAAGCAUCCGUAGCCGGUUCUACAAGUCUUCCGUUAAAUCCACCUGCUUAACAGAUGGGCUGCGGAGGAUACUAUAGAGCUAGGAGGCGGGAGAGGCAAGCGGUACUUAGUGGGUAGGGGUAAAAUCCGUUGAUCCAUUGAAGACCACCAGUGGCGAAGGCGGCUUGCCAGAAUGCGCUCGACGGUGAGGGAUGAAAGCUGGGGGGGCAAACCGG
Molecule: ribosomal RNA, 253 nt
Filed under: uncultured bacterium
Lineage: Bacteria
Description: partial 16S ribosomal RNA
Rfam family: Archaeal small subunit ribosomal RNA
Source: RNAcentral